GUGACUCUUGGCAGUGGAUCACUCUGCUCGUCCAUCGAUGAAGAACGCAGCUAGUUGCGAGAACUAGUGUGAAUUGCAGGACAAAUUGAUCGACACUUUGAACGCACCUUGCGGCCCGGGCUUUCUCCCGGAGAUACACCUGUCUGAGGGUCGCUUGAACAUCAAUCGCUCCGAGGUUCCCUCCCAGGGGCGCAGCUGGGGCUGUUGCAGGGACCCCUUUCCCUUUGUGCCCCUAAGGUCAGACCUCCGAUAAACCGUCGCAGGAUCCCUGGUCCUGGCGCGCAGGCUCAUUGCCGGUGCAUCCCAGCCUCCUCCGUUUCCCCCAUUGUGUGGGUUUCUUAAAAAGACUGGCGCACCUUCACCUUACCUCGGGCACUUGUCUCUGCCAUGUGUGGCUGUCUGUGUCCCACGGCUGCUGGCGCGGCAUCGCCCUGGAGCACGGGCCUCGCAACCACGUGGGGUUUGGCCGCAGAUCGGGACAGCACAGACUCUGCUGCGCCGGAGGCACGGGGUAGGGGCAAUCGUCAUCCCCCCUACCUCCUGUAUAGCCCCGAGGCUGCCCGGCUGCCCUGAGCUUUCUGCUCCCCGACUACGGCCUCAUCAGAAGUGGCAACCUGCUGAAUUUCAGCAUAUUACUAAGCGGAGGAAAAGAAACUAACCAGGAUUCCCUCAGUGCCGGCAAGUGAAGAGGGAAGAGCCCAGCGGGACUGCCGCCUGGUGACACCCGGCCCCCGCAGGGUACAUUUCUUCUGUGGCAGUGCACUGCGACCGACUCCGGGUCAGCUGGAAAGGGCGCAGGUGGCUCUCCGCUCUGGCCGAGAUUGUUACAGCCCCCUAUCAGCAGUUUUGCUGUGUUCGCGGGGCCGAAGGAGAUUGACUGCUGCCGUGCCUUUCUCUGGCAACCGUGCUGGCCCCCAUUGGGGGUGUCGCUGGGGUGACAAAGGGAGACAGAGCUGGCGAUUCGACUGUGGUGGACUGCCCUCAGUGAGCCCCGACCACGUCGCGCCGCUGAGUGGGAAGGCCCACAAAGGGCACCAGGGGUCUGAAGUGAUGUCGGCUACCCACCCGACCCGUUUUGAAACACUGACCUAGGAGUCUAACACGUGCACGAGUCAGAGGGCCGAACAAAACCCUGUGGCGCAAUGAGAGUGAAGGCCGACGUGAGCGGCUGGGGUGGGAUCCUAUCGCGGUGGGCUCACCACCGGCCUGUCUCGCCCGCUCUGUCAGGGAGGUGGAGCAUGAGCGUGUGAGAUAGGACCUGAACUAUGGUGAGCUAGGCCUGGGAAGGGCAAAGCCAGAGCAAACUCUUGUGGAGGUCCAUAGCGGUCCUGAUGUGCAAUUCGAUCGUACUACAUCGGUAUAGGGGCGAAAGACUAAUGGAACCAUCUAGUAGCUGGUUCCCUGCGAAGUUUCCCUCACAAUAGCUGGUGCACGGAAACCCCAGUUUUAUCUGGUAAAGCGAAUGAUUGGAGGUCUUGGGCCGAAAUGAUCUCAACCUAUUCUCAAACUUUAAAUGGGUAAGAGGCCCGGCUCGCUGGCGUGGAGCUGGGCAUCGGAUGCAAGUGCCCAGUGUGCCACUUUUGGUAAGCCGAACUGACGCAGUGGGAUGAACUGAACACUGGGUUAAGGCGCCCGAUGCCAACACUCAUCAGACCCCAGAAAGGAUGUUACUUGAUAUAGACAGCAGGACGGUGGGCUUGGAAGACUUAAUCCGCUAAGGAAUGUGUAACAACUCACCUGCCGAAUCAACUAGCCCUGAAAAUCGAUGCUGGUGGAGCGUCUGGCACAUACCCGGCCAGCACUGAGAGCUGCGGGGGCUAAGCUGCGACCAGUAGGAGGCUGCUGUGGUGCGCACGGAAGCCUGGGCGAGGGCCCGGGUGGAGCUCACGCAGGUGAAGAUCUUGUGGUAGUAGCAAAUAUUCAAACGAGAACUUUGAAGGCCAAGUGGAGAAGGGUUCAUGUGAACAGCAGUUGAACAUGGGUCAGUUGGUCCUAAGAAAUGGUCGAGCGCCGCUCGGAAGGGACGGACGAUGGCCUCCAUUGCUCUCAGGCGAUCGAAAAGGAGCUGGGUUCAGAUGGCAGAAACAGGCAUUCUCACGGCACCCAGUGCUGUAACGCAAACGAUCCCAGAGAAGCUGGUGGGAUCCCCGGGGAGAGUUCUGUUUUCUUUGUGAAGGGCAGGGCACCCUGGAAUGGGUUCACCCCGAGACAGGGGCCCAAGCCUUGGAAAGCAGUGUGGUUCCGGCGGCGACCGGUGAGCUGUCGCUGGUCCUUGAAAAUCUGGGCGAGAUGGUGUAAAUCUCACGCUGGGCCGUACCCAUAUACGCAGCAGUUCUCCAAAGUGAACAGCAUCUGGCAUGUUGCAACAAGGUAGGUAAGGGAAGUCUAAUCCAUAACUUCAAGAAGGGAUGGGUUGGUCGGGCUGGGGUGCAAAGCGGGGCUGGCCACAUGCCACGGUUGGAUGAGGCGCAUUCCCGCCACACACCCCGGGUGCAGCGCUGAUUCUAGAUAUGAGCUGGGCCCUUCCUGUGGAUCGCCCCAGCUGCAGUGGUCGCCUCUCUCUGUUCCCCUCCCAGCCGACGCCUUUCAGCUGACUUAGAACUGGUGCCGACCAGGGGAAUCCGAUUGUUAAAUUAAAACAAAGAAACGCGCAAGGCACACAGUGGGUGCUGACGCAAUGUGCUUUCUGCCCAGUGCUCUGAAUGUCAAAAGGAAGAAAUUUGAUGAAGCGCGGGUAAACAGCGAGAGUAACUAUGACUCUCUUAAGGUAGUCAAAUGCCUCAUCUGUUAUGCCUCAAUACCAAAAAGCAGAAAUCCACUAACCUGGUCAGAUGGCAGUGUCUUGGUGGGUGUGAAAAUUCCCCUGAGAACCUUACCACCUCUGUCCGGAUGUGACAAGGAGGAGAGGGGGCAACACUCCCAGGGAAACCCUCUGGGGUAAAAAACUCUGUACAGGAAACGUGUGCAUAGCUCUCUGUAAUUCGUUGAUCUUUGAACCUCAGGCUGGGAUACUAGGCUGGCAUCAUCAAUCCUUGGACUGGAAUACUAGGCAGUCAACCAAUAGAAGGGUCCCUCAGGAUGGUUCUGACAGGGGGAAAAGAGAUGGGUAAGUAAGUAAAGGAAGUUAAAGCCAGACAGAAAGAUGAGACCCGUGAAGUUUCCACCCACCUGACUGGAAACAGAGGAAGUCUGUUCUCCGGAGGUAGCAAGUAGCGCCUCCUUCUAUAUAAGAGAGGGACAUGUAAGUUUGGAAGUCUGGAUAUUCCCUUAGCGGAGUCUAUAACAACUGAGAAGAGUUCCUGAGACCUACGUGAAAUAGACAGAUGCUGAGGAAAGAAUGGUGCAGUGCAGUGGGACAAUGUGGCUGCCAAAUGGAGGAAUCCGGGACAGGCGGCUCUCGGAAUGUGAAGUAUAAAGGUAAGGAAUGAG
This 3429-nucleotide ribosomal RNA is filed under the name Ambystoma mexicanum (axolotl). RNAcentral describes it as "eukaryotic LSU rRNA". The stretch from base 613 to 2860 matches the Rfam family "Eukaryotic large subunit ribosomal RNA". Lineage: Eukaryota; Metazoa; Chordata; Amphibia; Caudata; Ambystomatidae. The record is from RNAcentral.